UGCAUGGCGCUGCUACUCUUCAGUCGACGCAUGAAGCCGCUUUCGGGUGGUGGAUGAGUGGCGAACGGGUGAGUAACACGUGGGCAAUCUGCCCUGUACUCUGGGAUAAGCCUUGGAAACGAGGUCUAAUACCGGAUGGGACACCGCUUCGCAUGGGGUGGUGUGGAAAGCUUCGGCGGUACGGGAUGAGCCCGCGGCCUAUCAGCUUGUUGGUGGGGUGAUGGCCUACCAAGGCGACGACGGGUAGCCGGCCUGAGAGGGUGACCGGCCACACUGGGACUGAGACACGGCCCAGACUCCUACGGGAGGCAGCAGUGGGGAAUAUUGCACAAUGGGCGGAAGCCUGAUGCAGCGACGCCGCGUGAGGGAUGACGGCCUUCGGGUUGUAAACCUCUUUCGCCCGGGACGAAGCGUGAUAGUGACGGUACCGGGAGAAGAAGCACCGGCUAACUACGUGCCAGCAGCCGCGGUAAUACGUAGGGUGCAAGCGUUGUCCGGAAUUAUUGGGCGUAAAGAGCUCGUAGGCGGUGUGUCACGUCUGCCGUGAAAACCUGCGGCUUAACCGUGGGCGUGCGGUGGAUACGGGCAUCACUUGAGUUCGGCAGGGGAGACUGGAAUUCCUGGUGUAGCGGUGGAAUGCGCAGAUAUCAGGAGGAACACCGGUGGCGAAGGCGGGUCUCUGGGCCGAUACUGACGCUGAGGAGCGAAAGCGUGGGGAGCGAACAGGAUUAGAUACCCUGGUAGUCCACGCCGUAAACGUUGGGCGCUAGGUGUGGGACGCUGUUCCGUGUCCCGUGCCGUAGCUACGCAUUAAGCGCCCCCCUGGGGAUACGGCCCAAGGCUAAACUCAAGGAUUGACGGGGCCGCACAGCGGCGGAGCAUGUGGAUAAUCGAUGCACGCGAAAACCUUACUGGGCUUGACAUGCACCGAUCGCUCAAAAUGGGUUUCCUUGUGCUGGUCACAGUGGUCAUGCUGUCGUCACUCUUUCGUGAAUUUUGG
Molecule: ribosomal RNA, 1000 nt
Filed under: Saccharomonospora sp. ZZY-2013
Lineage: Bacteria; Bacillati; Actinomycetota; Actinomycetes; Pseudonocardiales; Pseudonocardiaceae
Description: bacterial SSU rRNA
Rfam family: Bacterial small subunit ribosomal RNA
Source: RNAcentral